This is a long non-coding RNA of Piliocolobus tephrosceles (Ugandan red Colobus), 934 nucleotides long. RefSeq lists it as uncharacterized. Lineage: Eukaryota; Metazoa; Chordata; Mammalia; Primates; Cercopithecidae. The transcript is spliced from 3 exons. The record is from RefSeq and is a predicted model, not a curated record.
AACCUCUGCCUCCCAGGUUCAACCGGUUCUCCUGCCUCCGCCUCCUGAGUAGCUGGGAAUACAGGCAACAACUGGAAACAACCCAAGUGCCCGUCAGCUAGAGAAUGGAUAGACCCACGUGGUCUGUGCAUACAGUGGAGUGCUGCUCAGUUAUACAAAGGAAAGAAACUAUGGAUACAGGCCACAGGAGGGAUGAACUUCAAAACAUUACAGUAAGUGAAAGAAGUAAAACUCCACGAGGGAAGUUGGUGGGUAUGGACAUAUUUUGAACUGGCAGAAUUUUACUGUGUUCAUUGAGGUAUUAGGUAUUGAGUCCCUGUUGACCAGCUACUGUGCUAGGUACGGCCAUUAGAGAAAUGAGAAGCAGACGCCAUCUCCAUUGUGAUGAGACUCACCCGAUCAGCCGUUUCUGAUGAACACUCAGGGGGAAGGCAGCAUCCAGUUAUGAAUCUGAUAUUUAUGAGGCUGUGGCUGCUCCAACAUCAGAAUCCGCUACUGUAGAGCCUGGCAAGCUGGAUGUGGGAGCCACGGAGGGCCAUGACCUGCAGCACAUCAGCAGGCAAAAGAUGCCCACAGGUAAAAAAGCCUUGGGUUCCAUUGACUCUCUGGCACACCUCUGGCCACCUCAACCCCUUCCCAUCCCCUCAUCCCCAGAGACAUCCUCAGCUUCCAGCUCCAUCCUGCCCGUAGCCAGCUGUCCCAGGUCUGGGCAUGGGGGGCAAAGGUUGGCUCUGCCUCUUGUCUUAGACAUUGAGGCUUUUUUGAUCUAGUCUCUUCCUUUUCUCAAUGAAAAUUCAAAUAGCCCAGUUUUGGAGUCCCCAUCCCAUUCUCUAGCCUUGCUUAUCCAGCUGGUUUGGUACCUAAAUGAAGGAACCAGGUAAGGGCCAGAUUGUUUCUUUUCUCCCAUCCCUUUAGGUAGCUAAUAAUUGGGUAA